GAAAGGGAAACGAUUGAAGUCAGUCGUACCUGCGGGUAAUCAGCCUUUUGGGCAUGAUUCUGUGGAGCGUGAGGAGUUAAACGCCUUCAUGCCUGCAUAUUCGUGUACUUUGGGUGUACUUGCCCGUGUGGUUAGUUAACAUCAAUUUUGGUUAUCAUAAAAUGGCUGGAGGAAUGUAGCUUCGAUUUCGAUUGAAGUGUUAUAGCCUUCGGCAGAUGUGAUGAUCGGGAUUGAGGAUUGCAACGGAUACCCUUCGGGGCUACCUGUCUGGUCUCUGAUCGUUGCUCUGGUGCCGAAAGCGUGCUUACGGUCAUCAAAGUCGAUGGUUAAUAGGUUAGAACGGGUUAAAUUCGUUAAGGAUGUUGACGUA
This 370-nucleotide ribosomal RNA is filed under the name uncultured Glomeromycotina. Its description in RNAcentral is "eukaryotic LSU rRNA". The record is from RNAcentral. Lineage: Eukaryota; Fungi; Glomeromycota.